CUGCAGUUCCUAAUAGACAGAACCAAAGCCCGUUUGGCGGGAUGGAGGAAAAACCUAAUCCACAUCGCGGGACGACGCGUGUUAGUUCGAUGUGUCCUCAGUGCUUUGCCGACCUUCGCCAUCACCGUGCUGCGGGUGCCAAAGAAGAUCCUCAAGGAGAUCGAUAAGUGCCGCCGCCGUUUCCUCUGGAAGCAAAACGAGGAGAUCUCCGGUGCAAGCUGCAAGGUCAACUGG
RNAcentral lists this ribosomal RNA (234 nucleotides) under Triticum aestivum (bread wheat). RNAcentral describes it as "partial small subunit ribosomal RNA". The record is from RNAcentral. Lineage: Eukaryota; Viridiplantae; Streptophyta; Magnoliopsida; Poales; Poaceae.